Non-coding RNA from Paramuricea clavata, 310 nucleotides. The record is from the annotation of a GenBank genome assembly. Lineage: Eukaryota; Metazoa; Cnidaria; Anthozoa; Malacalcyonacea; Plexauridae.
GGGGAUACCAUUGCUAUUAAUUUAGAUAUCAGCAAAGUCCUGCUCAAUAAAUCGAACGUUUCACAAAAAUUUCCCUAUAACUUCAAAAACUUGCAUAUAAUUUACUGUAUAAAAUAACCACAAUUAAGUGCUGCGAGUAACAAAGUCUAACAAAAUUGACAAGUAACAAAGCACCUGCGAUCAGUUUUAUAUAGUGUGCAUGGUAUGAACUUGAAUGUAAAACCUGCAAUCUAAAAGCUCUAAUUAAACUGCUGUUCUUGUUUUCUUAAAGGCUCAUUUACACAAAAUGACUAGUUAUAUACGAAUGUCG